ACCAACUACAAAUGGAAGACGAAGUUACACCAUUUCGAGAAAGAAGAGUGCAUCCACGCUGUGAGCUCAUCAGCAGCAACUACAAACCACGCUGAACAUGGCAGCGACGGGCGACCACCCAGCAAACGAAGCCUGUCGUGGACAAGGCGACCUCCAAGUAUUCAUGCAAACUGAUGACGACAUCCCUCCCGACAACAGGAAGCUGUAUUACACAAUCAUCGUUCUUAUGUACAUCGUCAUGAUGCUCUGUGGACUGGGAGUUGCCAAGGCGGCAUUCAUCGGGGGCUCGCACAAAGUGAUUGAUUAGACUGUGUGACUUCGCGCCGAUGUGAAUAAAUGUCACUAUCAUG
Molecule: long non-coding RNA, 350 nt
Organism: Ornithodoros turicata
Lineage: Eukaryota; Metazoa; Arthropoda; Arachnida; Ixodida; Argasidae
Exons: 2
Source: RefSeq, a predicted model, not a curated record